Molecule: ribosomal RNA, 254 nt
Filed under: uncultured prokaryote
Description: partial 16S ribosomal RNA
Rfam family: Bacterial small subunit ribosomal RNA
Source: RNAcentral
AAUACGAAGGGGGCUAGCGUUGUUCGGAAUUACUGGGCGUAAAGCGCACGUAGGCGGAUUGUUAAGUGAGGGGUGAAAUCCCAGGGCUCAACCCUGGAACUGCCUUUCAUACUGGCAAUCUAGAGUCCAGAAGAGGUGAGUGGAAUUCCGAGUGUAGAGGUGAAAUCCGUAGAUAUUCGGAGGAACGCCAGUGGCGAAGGCGGCUCACUGGUCUGGAACUGACGCUGAGGUGCGAAAGCGUGGGGAGCAAACAG